AACGAACGCUGGCGGCAGGCUUAACACAUGCAAGUCGAACGCCCCGCAAGGGGAGUGGCAGACGGGUGAGUAACGCGUGGGAACAUACCCUUUUCUACGGAAUAGCUCUGGGAAACUGGAAUUAAUACCGUAUACGCCCUACGGGGGAAAGAUUUAUCGGGGAAGGAUUGGCCCGCGUUGGAUUAGCUAGUUGGUGGGGUAAAGGCCUACCAGGGCGACGAUCCAUAGCUGGUCUGAGAGGAUGAUCAGCCACAUUGGGACUGAGACACGGCCCAAACUCCUACGGGAGGCAGCAGUGGGGAAUAUUGGACAAUGGGCGCAAGCCUGAUCCAGCCAUGCCGGGUGAGUGAUGAAGGCAUUAGGGUUGUAAAGCUCUUUCACCGAUGAAGAUAAUGACGGUAGUCGGAGAAGAAGCCCCGGCUAACUUCGUG
Molecule: ribosomal RNA, 431 nt
Filed under: uncultured bacterium
Lineage: Bacteria
Description: partial 16S ribosomal RNA
Rfam family: Bacterial small subunit ribosomal RNA
Source: RNAcentral